This 430-nucleotide ribosomal RNA is filed under the name Belisana tambligan. Its description in RNAcentral is "partial 16S ribosomal RNA". The record is from RNAcentral. Lineage: Eukaryota; Metazoa; Arthropoda; Arachnida; Araneae; Pholcidae.
UUCUUAAAGAAUAAAAUUUUAAGUAAAUCCUGCUCAAUGAGUAUUAAAUAGCCGCAGUUAUUUUGUGCUAAGGUAGCAUAAUCAUUUGCUUUCUAAAUAAAAGAUAGAAUGAAAGGUUAAACGAUAAAAAAUUUUUUAAUUUGAAAUAACGAAAUUAAUUUUAAAGUAAAAAAACUUUAAUAUAUAAAUAAGACGACAAGACCCUGAUAAACUUAUUACAUUUAGUUGGGGCAACUAAAAAACAAAAUUUUAUUUAAACCAUCAAAUACAACUUUAAGAAAAAUUAAAAUAGUUACUAUAGGGAUAACAGCGCAAUUUCUUUCAAAAGUUCACAUUUAAAAAGAAUAUUACGACCUCGAUGUUGAAUUAAUUCCAUUACAAUUAACGCAAAAGUUUUAGUAAAUUAAGUCUGUUCGACUAAUAAUAAAUU